AUGCGAGAUGAAAAAUGUUUUGAAACAGAGGAGACAUUAAGAUGCUGGCUUCCCAAAGAAGUUGAGGGGAAGUCAGAAGCCGCCGCUGACAUCGAGGUGGAUGAAGAUCGACUUGAGCCCAGAUCAGAUGAUGAUGACACAAACUUUGAAGAAUCUGAAGAUGAGCUGAGAGAUGAGGUGGUGGACUCCCUAGAGAAACUUUUAAGUUCCAUAGAGGAGGAGAGGAGAGAAGAGCUGCCAGCCAAAACCCAAAGUGGAGAACAGCCUGAAACUGAAGAACGUUGGAGAAAGCAAACCUCUGAGAACUCACCUGAGGGUAGAGAACUCCACUCCGUUCCACCCACUGCGGAAAACAUGAUUUCCCAGGAGGGACGAGGAAGAGGGCAUGCCCAAAAGAUGCACGUGUGAGGAGUAAGUAUAUAGUCUUCUAGGUAAGAGCAGUUGAGCCUCAAUGCCACUGUCACUGAGCACGUGUGGGCAGAGGGAGGGAAGAGUAUUGGCCCAAGAGGUUGGAAAGACAGUUGACUCAGAGCGAGGAGUGGCAGGGAACGGGGAUGGCUUAGAGGCCCAGGGGCUGGGGGUCCUGGGGAUUGGACUAGUGUAUUCCAAGGGUGGGAGAGAGGCCAAGGUGCUGGUCAAACUGGAUGGGCAACCCAGGUGGCGAAGAGGAAGAUAAUUGGGGACGAGGUGGGGGUUGGAGCCGGGAAGGUAGGGAGGGGCCUGAGAAACAGACCUUGCUCCUUGUGGGCAGGGAUAAUGUCUUCCAACUUGACUGUCCUGGACUUUGGUAAGCGCUUAGUACAAUGCCCUGUGCACAGUAAGCGUUCAGUAAAUACCACUGAUUGAUCAGCCGAUGGCCAAGCAUAUGGAGAGAGAGAGAAGGGACAGUUAGAGAAGAAAAAGGGGGGAGAAAAGGAAGAUAAAAUGGAGGCAGACAACAAUAGGAAGAGAUGAGAGAUGUGGGGUGUGAGAGGAGGAAAGAUGGGAACUAAAAUAAAGGGGUGGUAUGAUAAAUCUGGCUGAUAUAUCUUAGGAAGGAUUUAUUGAAGCUGAAGAAAUAUCUACUACGAAGGCUAUUGAGAUGAUUAAGGAGAUGGAGAUAUUCCCUGUGGGGAUAAGCUGAAAAAAUGAGUUUGAAAAAGUGGUUAAUACAGUACCUGGCACAUAGUAAGUGCUUAAUAAAUACCAUUAAUAAAAAAGGAAAGAAGUUGAGGUGGCCCAUGAUCCAAGUCCACAGUGGGAGGGAACGGGAGUGUGGCGAGAAGUGGGUAAAGCCGUGGGCAUCACGGCAGAGAAAGGUCGGAGGAGAGUCGCUGGAGCCGGAAGUGACCGCCUAAUAAGCUAUGCAUUCAAGUGCAGCAGGGCCACUUAAUGAAGGAACAGGGAAGUAGCCAGGCCCCAUUUGCUAAUCCUUCUAGCCCACCUCGAUCCCAGGUCCCCGUUCUCCUACUCCCACUCCCUCAGUGAACCCUCAAGUCACGCCAGCCGAUCCCCAAAAUCACCGUGUGUGUGCCACCCCAUCUCCCACUCUGUGUUUCUGUUCUGUCCUGCUCCUCUGACGGUGAGACUGCUAUUCCAGGACUUGUGCGAUGGAAACUAUAAGACGUUUGAAAAGUAUAUUUUGAUCGUGUUCUGGAAAGUAACCAGGGACUAGACCUGAAAUCAAGAAUACUGUAGUAACCCAACUGGUUUAGAACAAGGUUCAAGGUAUAUUCAAAUGGGCGUCUAAUGUUUAACAACGGUUGGGAAGGCCCUUUCGUAAAUAAAUCUGUAACUGGCUCAUAAUAUAUUUUGAUUUUUAUUUUGAUAUUGGAUCAGAAGAGUCUUUAGUAGCAGCUCUUAUCAACAUCUGUCAUCAUCAAGUUCAUUAAGUAUCCUCUGCACAGCACACUUUGAGAAAGUUACAGUAAGUAUCACAUUAGAGACUUAAUUUUAGUCUUGGCAUUCUGUACUGAGUACAUUAAAAGGAAGUGUGAUAAUCAAAUAGAGAAAGCGAGUUGAUCUCCCUGCCGCCCUCAUCUGCCACGGUCAUCACUCAUUCCAAAAACCUAAACCCAACUAACACCACUUCGCCUAAAGGGGUCAGGGUGAAGGGGCUUAAACCUAGCUUUUCAAUCCCUUGCCCUAUAUCCUUUCAGCCUCUGGACUCUGAAAUCGGUUUCCCAGAAAAUCUGGGUCCUGGCCAGAGACAGGAGGGAAUUAUAUAAAAUCUACAGAAAGCAUGGAGUCUGUUAUGGUACUUGUUAAGCACUUACUAUGUGCCAAGCACUGUCCUAACCACUGGGGUAGAUUCAAGGUAGUCAGGUUGGACACAGUCCCUGCCCCUGGCUCACACUCUCAAUCAUUUUAUAGAUGAGGUAACUGAGGCCCAGAGAAGUGAAUUGACUUGCCCAAGGUCCCACAUCAGACAUAUGGCGGAACUGGCAUUAGAAGCCAUGACCUUCCGACUCCCAGGUCUGGGACUCUACCCACUAAGCCACACUGCUUCUGUCACUGGGUCCGUGUUCAGACCUUGGUGUCGGCAGGAACUGGCCUAAUAGCUAGUCUUUGCUUGAUUUUGUGAGUGGGUAUCUGCACAGGUCCCGUCCGCUCUAGCUGAAGUUGGGACCCGAUUCACAAAACAUUACCUAAAAUUUGCCUUGGUGGAUUAACAUAAUUUAAACGCUGCCUGAAUUGAAUGCCGGUGUUUGAAUAGCAUCCAUUAGAUUGAGAUUAAGUCCCCUUCGAAAUGCUGCCACUUCCUUGACUGGACGUUUCGUCUAAGGCACGAACCCAUACCAGGCGACUUCCCUUCCCAAUAGCUGACGGUGUUGCUUCCCCGCACUGGCACACACAGACAGGCUGAGCCCAGUUACGCUGGCAUGAUGAAUUAUUUAUUCUGUUUUUAAAGCCUAGCCCUACGCCCCGGGGCAUACUUACACAAUCAAGUGCACAGAUAUUCUGAAAAGACCGGCCUUCACGUCACAACAUUAUCUUUGGGAUGUGCCCGUCUAAAAUGAUGGGUGGUUCUAGUGGUCCCAAGAGAGUAAGAAAGCUUUAACCCUGGAAGGGUGGGAGAUGCCCGAGGCAGGGAGCCCUCUCGGAAAGCACCCUCCUUCUCUUUCCGGGAAACGUGGCACUCGGAAGGCUUGGAGGAGAACCGGGAUAUUUUAAUUCCACUGAGGGUUCAGAGGAAAGGGAGUGGAGUAACCUUAGAAAUUAUAGUCCAAACAGAUCCUGUUGUGGGCUAACAGACAGCUUCAAGUGCUCUCAGGAGCAGCUAUAGAGUAGGAUGUGGGGGGCUGCACAUGAAAGUUGUUAGCUCAUAACUUGACACCAUGAGAUGGCUUUUGGAGAAACAGGUUAUUACAGGAAUUUUGAGUGACACCAGCGCCUGCCUCAUUAUUAUACAAACGUAACUGCUGCCAGUUUCAUUAUUUAGUUAGAGAAUAAACCCUUCAUGGAAGUUUGUUGUCACUUCAACAGUAAAGGUAGGAUGGGACAGUCUCAAACACUGAAUGGGAUGUAGAAUUUAAAUACGAAUGAAUUUUCCAGAAAUGAGCCUAAAGUCAAUUAUGCCUGGGCACUGGUCAAAUAAGAGGCAUCCAAACCCUUGCCCUCAUUCUCUUAAUAAAUAAAUAAAUAAAAACUAUGCUGAUUUGUUCUUAGCACACCUGAACACUCGUCAGUCUCAAAAUACGUACUCUUAGAGACUAGUGUCUGCCUCGGCUGCGGUUUUGCAGAGCAGCCGUAAAAUUCCAAAUCAAACACCAAGUUAGAAAACUGUGGCUUCCCAUUCCAGGUGAUUUGAUAGAGAACACAAUAGGUUUUCAUGCAGUGAUUCUUCCUUCUUCUAAUCAUCAAAAUAAAUACCCUUGCCAAGGUCCACAGAAAGAAAGGGUGACUUUAUUAUACCAAGGGAAUCCCUGUCUAGAAAAAAUAUUUACAGGUGAAGGGAUCUGACCACGAUCUAUAAAAUACUAUUAA
This 3966-nucleotide long non-coding RNA is filed under the name Ornithorhynchus anatinus (platypus). RNAcentral's name for it is "lncRNA (ENSOANG00000015523.3)". The record is from RNAcentral. Lineage: Eukaryota; Metazoa; Chordata; Mammalia; Monotremata; Ornithorhynchidae.